Non-coding RNA from Cinara cedri, 779 nucleotides. The record is from the annotation of a GenBank genome assembly. Lineage: Eukaryota; Metazoa; Arthropoda; Insecta; Hemiptera; Aphididae.
CGUGAGCCUGGACGUCUAACCGCGAUUACCGCGCACGGAGAACUCCGGCGCCGGGGAAAUACAUUUACGCGAAAACGUGGACGUUUACAGACACGAAAAUUCCCGUACAGAAACGCGUUUCAAACAUUUUCGCUGAAUUUUCACAAACAGCCGCGAUCAACGGAGUCUCGUAACUAUAGAAUCGAAUUUUUCUCUUUCUGUUUUGUGUAACAGAAAUAAUCACCAUGACUCCUGAAAAAUAUUGAACCGUCUCAUAAACUCCACGUGCACCGAUCGUUGUACAAUAAUAAAUAACCGGAUCGGUAAUACAAUUAUAAUACAGCACCAUUUUUUACCACUGUCUUUCAGAAUUAUCGGAACUAGAAUCUAAUAUCUUCCAGAAAGAAAAAUAGAUAGUGAAAUUUGAUCAUAAAACUGGUAGACGUGGAGAUUGAACGUGACAAAAUACACGGGUUGUAUGCUAUUGAUCAUUGUCUUUAAUCAGUAUAUAAUGUUUAUAUUUAUUAUCAACAAAAAGUAUGUUACACUAUACGUACAAUGUUAUGUUACCAUAUUAUAUUGAAAGCAACGAUUAAUGAUUGUGAUCAAAAAACGUUCCAGAGCAAUAUAAGUUAUAUUAGUCGUGUCCAUUUUCUCAGUAACCAAGGUAACCAAGAAAUCAAUAAAAAUAAAAUCGUUAUUUAUUAUCAGUUUUUUUUUUUUAAAUUAUAGUACAACCGGGCGAAACACCCGCAUUUUUCAAUGUAUGGCGUCAAUAAAUCUGAACAUUUUUACUCGCC